Molecule: ribosomal RNA, 483 nt
Filed under: uncultured bacterium
Lineage: Bacteria
Description: partial 16S ribosomal RNA
Rfam family: Bacterial small subunit ribosomal RNA
Source: RNAcentral
UUGAACGCUGGCGGCAGGCCUAACACAUGCAAGUCGAGCGGAUGAAGGGAGCUUGCUCCUGGAUUCAGCGGCGGACGGGUGAGUAAUGCCUAGGAAUCUGCCUGGUAGUGGGGGAUAACGUCCGGAAACGGGCGCUAAUACCGCAUACGUCCUGAGGGAGAAAGUGGGGGAUCUUCGGACCUCACGCUAUCAGAUGAGCCUAGGUCGGAUUAGCUAGUUGGUGGGGUAAAGGCCUACCAAGGCGACGAUCCGUAACUGGUCUGAGAGGAUGAUCAGUCACACUGGAACUGAGACACGGUCCAGACUCCUACGGGAGGCAGCAGUGGGGAAUAUUGGACAAUGGGCGAAAGCCUGAUCCAGCCAUGCCGCGUGUGUGAAGAAGGUCUUCGGAUUGUAAAGCACUUUAAGUUGGGAGGAAGGGCAGUAAGUUAAUACCUUGCUGUUUUGACGUUACCAACCGAAUAAGCACCGGCUAACUUCGUG